UGCCUUCCGCCCUUCCCUUGGCUACCUCUGUCUGUCUGUGUCUUGUCCAGUCCGGGUCUCCAGGGCUCCGGCACCGGCAGGCAGAGAGCUACCAAACCCCACCACCACGAACGGCCGCCGCCGACGAGACGGGGGCGCAUGGCGACUGCAUCCUCCUUCACCGCCAUCUUCUUCAGCAGCGCCUUCGCGGCCUGCUUCGCGGAGGUGUGCACCAUUCCUUUGGACACAGCCAAAGUGCGGCUCCAGCUGCAAAGGAAGGCACCACUACCGUCGCCACCAGUGGCUGCAGCAGCUGCUGCUGGAGGCACGCUAGCCACAAUCAUGUGCAUCGCCAGGGAGGAAGGGGUUGCCGCGCUCUGGAAGGGCGUCAUCCCCGGCCUCCACCGUCAGUUCCUCUAUGGCGGCCUCCGCAUCGGCUUGUAUGAGCCUGUGAAGGCUUUCUUCGUCGGAGGCGCUGUUGUGGGUGAUGUCAGUUUACUAAGCAAGAUCCUUGCUGCACUUACCACAGGUGUGAUAGCGAUUGUUGUGGCAAAUCCAACUGAUCUUGUCAAAGUUAGGUUGCAAGCUGAUGGAAAAGCUAACACUAUCAAGAGGAGUUAUUCUGGAGCCCUUAAUGCAUACGCUACAAUAAUCAGACAGGAAGGUAUUGGAGCUUUGUGGACUGGCCUUGGUCCAAAUGUCGCACGCAAUGCCAUAAUUAACGCUGCCGAGUUGGCCAGCUAUGAUCAGUUCAAACAGAUGUUUCUAAAACUUCCUGGGUUUACUGAUAACGUUUUUACGCAUCUUUUAGCUGGACUUGGUGCUGGGUUUUUUGCUGUUUGCAUUGGCUCUCCGGUGGAUGUGGUGAAAUCAAGAAUGAUGGGUGAUUCAACGUACAGAAGUACUCUUGACUGUUUUACCAAGACAUUAAAGAAUGAUCUGCAGCAGUCCAAACAGUCGGCUUUAAUCCGAAGCGUAUUGUGCUUUGACCAUUAAUUCAGUUGAAAAGUUGGUUACAGGUCACUACACAAAUGACUGCCACACUACAGUUUAUAUUUUGAGCUUUAGACUUGAGCCUUUUAAGUUGCAAGAACAUUUCUACAUUUUCAUGAUUGAGGCCUGGAAUUGCAAUGCUCAGAAAAUGUGCAUUCAGCUGGGUCAUAAUCUAAGACAAGGAAUAUUAUCAUGGACCUGGUGCUUUCUACAAGGGAUUCAUUGCAAACUUUUGUCGGAUUGGGUCAUGGAAUGUGAUAAUGUUCUUAACUCUGGAACAGGUCAAAAGAUUCUUUCUAUGAAGAGAUGUCUGCACUGCAAGUAGGGAUUGUGUGGGACAAGGGUAUGCUGAUAUAUAUGGGCGGCAUAAUUGCAUGAUUAUUUGAAGCUACAGGUUUGUCAACCAACAGAAAGCAGCCAUAUAUGCCAUACUGCCACCUACGUCUGGCUCUUAGAUUACAUAUGACAAUAUGUUCUCAUGUUGCAUUUUGAUUAUUAUGUGGCGAUGCUGUAAUAUUUUUGUAUCACAAAUUGAUCAUACAGACCACUGUGUUGGUAUAUUGUAGAGAGCGACACUGUUCACUACUUCACUGCAAGUUGACGUUCAUGCCGAAACA
Zea mays is the source of this 1589-nucleotide RNA transcript. It is a transcript of the gene named Mitochondrial uncoupling protein 1, with no coding region annotated. The record is from RefSeq and is marked provisional. Lineage: Eukaryota; Viridiplantae; Streptophyta; Magnoliopsida; Poales; Poaceae. The transcript has 10 exons.